AGCAGCCGCGGUAAUUCCAGCUCCAAUAGCGUAUAUUAAAGUUGUUGCAGUUAAAAAGCUCGUAGUUGAAUUUCGGGAUCAAUACGUCGGUCGUGCUUAGGUACGUACUGGCGUAAUUGAUUUCUCCCUUCUGACGAACCAUGAUGUCAUUAACUUGGUGUUAUGGGAAAUCAGGACUGUUACUUUGAAAAAAUUAGAGUGUUUAAAGCAGGCUCACGCUUGAAUACAUUAGCAUGGAAUAAUGAAAUAGGACGUUCGAUCCUAUUUUGUUGGUUUUAGGAUCAACGUAAUGAUUAAUAGGGAUAGUUGGGGGCAUUAGUAUUCAAUUGUCAGAGGUGAAAUUCUUGGAUUUAUUGAAGACUAACUACUGCGAAAGCAUUUGCCAAGGAUGUUUUCAUUAAUCAAGAACGAAAGUUAGGGGAUCGAAGACGAUCAGAUACCGUCGUAGUCUUAACCAUAAACUAUGCCGACUAGGGAUCGGAUGAUGUUAAUUUUUAAUGACUCAUUCGGCGCCUUACGG
Molecule: ribosomal RNA, 520 nt
Filed under: uncultured Glomus
Lineage: Eukaryota; Fungi; Glomeromycota; Glomeromycetes; Glomerales; Glomeraceae
Description: SSU rRNA
Rfam family: Eukaryotic small subunit ribosomal RNA
Source: RNAcentral